RNAcentral lists this long non-coding RNA (209 nucleotides) under Carica papaya (papaya). RNAcentral describes it as "long non-coding RNA (CPAP_LNC010979)". Lineage: Eukaryota; Viridiplantae; Streptophyta; Magnoliopsida; Brassicales; Caricaceae. The record is from RNAcentral.
AUAAAAAAUAAUCAAAAUAAAUAAUUAAAAAAAUUCCUCUCUCUUUAUCCAAAUCUCCAUAUAGCUUUAUCUUCCAUGGACUUCCAAUUUGAGUAGAAUUUCAUCUCUAACUUUGUACUUUAAUCACAUGUCUUAAUUGGUAGAAAUCACUUGUUAUAGAAUCCUUGGAAAAUUAUGAGAAAUGGGAGAAAAGAGUCCAAAAAGGACUU